Molecule: ribosomal RNA, 468 nt
Filed under: uncultured bacterium
Lineage: Bacteria
Description: partial 16S ribosomal RNA
Rfam family: Bacterial small subunit ribosomal RNA
Source: RNAcentral
GACGAACGCUGGCGGCGUGCUUAACACAUGCGAGUCGAACGGAAAGGCCCUGCUUUUGUGGGGUGCUCGAGUGGCGAACGGGUGAGUAACACGUGAGUAACCUGACCUUGACUUUGGGAUAACUUCAGGAAACUGGGGCUAAUACCGGAUAGGAGCUCCUGCUGCAUGGUGGGGGUUGGAAAGUUUCGGCGGUUGGGGAUGGACUCGCGGCUUAUCAGCUUGUUGGUGGGGUAGUGGCUUACCAAGGCUUUGACGGGUAGCCGGCCUGAGAGGGUGACCGGCCACAUUGGGACUGAGAUACGGCCCAGACUCCUACGGGAGGCAGCAGUGGGGAAUAUUGCACAAUGGGCGGAAGCCUGAUGCAGCAACGCCGCGUGCGGGAUGACGGCCUUCGGGUUGUAAACCGCUUUCGCCUGUGACGAAGCGUGAGUGACGGUAAUGGGUAAAGAAGCACCGGCUAACUACGUG